This 548-nucleotide ribosomal RNA is filed under the name uncultured bacterium. RNAcentral's name for it is "partial 16S ribosomal RNA". It matches the Rfam family "Bacterial small subunit ribosomal RNA", at positions 355 to 896 of the family's 1533-position model. The record is from RNAcentral.
UGGGGAAUUUUGGACAAUGGGCGCAAGCCUGAUCCAGCCAUGCCGCGUGCGGGAAGAAGGCCGUCGGGUUGUAAACCGCUUUUGUCAGGGAAGAAAUCUUCUGAGUUAAUACCUCGGGAGGAUGACGGUACCUGAAGAAUAAGCACCGGCUAACUACGUGCCAGCAGCCGCGGUAAUACGUAGGGUGCAAGCGUUAAUCGGAAUUACUGGGCGUAAAGCGUGCGCAGGCGGUUUUGUAAGACAGAGGUGAAAUCCCCGGGCUCAACCUGGGAACUGCCUUUGUGACUGCAAGGCUUGAGUGCGGCAGAGGGGGAUGGAAUUCCGCGUGUAGCAGUGAAAUGCGUAGAUAUGCGGAGGAACACCGAUGGCGAAGGCAAUCCCCUGGGCCUGCACUGACGCUCAUGCACGAAAGCGUGGGGAGCAAACAGGAUUAGAUACCCUGGUAGUCCACGCCCUAAACGAUGUCAACUGGUUGUUGGGAAGGUUCCUUCUCAGUAACGUAGCUAACGCGUGAAGUUGACCGCCUGGGGAGUACGGCCGCAAGGUUG